This 159-nucleotide ribosomal RNA is filed under the name Kayea racemosa. Its description in RNAcentral is "5.8S ribosomal RNA". It matches the Rfam family "5.8S ribosomal RNA". Rfam says of the family: 5.8S ribosomal RNA (5.8S rRNA) is a component of the large subunit of the eukaryotic ribosome. Lineage: Eukaryota; Viridiplantae; Streptophyta; Magnoliopsida; Malpighiales; Calophyllaceae. The record is from RNAcentral.
GACUCUCGGCAACGGAUAUCUCGGCUCUCGCAUCGAUGAAGAACGUAGCGAAAUGCGAUACUUGGUGUGAAUUGCAGGAUCCCGUGAACCAUCGAGUCUUUGAACGCAAGUUGCGCCCGAAGCCUUCUGGCCGAGGGCACGUCUGCCUGGGUGUCACGC